Molecule: long non-coding RNA, 213 nt
Filed under: Elaeis guineensis (African oil palm)
Lineage: Eukaryota; Viridiplantae; Streptophyta; Magnoliopsida; Arecales; Arecaceae
Description: long non-coding RNA (EGUI_LNC074835)
Source: RNAcentral
UCCGGACAUCGGGUACUGUUGCUAGAUGGUCAAUUCGAUUAGUACAGAAAUUGGUUCUUGUGCUACUGGCUUAGGUUCGAACCUGUGGGGUCACACACAUUAGAGGUUCCUAUCUGAUUUGAUAGCCGAUGUAGAAUCCUACAUGUUUGAGACUCGAUGAUCGAGAAUCAGGAUUCUCUGAUCAUGAGUUUCACACAUUAUGGGUACCGGGGU